GAGGGGGGGAAUGGGGUGGGAUGGAGUGGGAGGUGUGCGGGGUCCCAGUAGAGCCAAGAGGUCUCUGCAGUUGCAUCAGAGCUGAGGGGCAGGAAAAGGGUUUCUGAGCAACCCAGUGUAGCAACCUAAAUUAGCAGUGCCGGCCUUCAGGCAGUGAGCCGAGCUCUCAUGUCCGCCCAUGUACGUACAUUUGUGAGGGGACCGAGGCUCCUGCCUGAGCCAUGUGCCUGCCUGUGCGUAGGGUUCCACCUGGCAGAGCUCCAGCUGGCAGGACUGGCUUUGCCCUAGAUAGACCAGGGACUGGUGACUCAGUUCUGCCUUAUCUGGGGGAGUGUGAGGCCCUCACCACUGGCUGAGGAGAGAGGGAGACACCCAGUGGAGCAGCCUUGUCCCCCACAGCCUUGGGGUGCUUGCUGAAGGGCCCCUGAGCCUUGCAUGGCAACAGACACAGCUCAGCCACUUGGUCCAAAUUCCAGCUUCCCUGGUCCCUGCUGCUCCUCAGAGCCAGAGCCAGACACGGCUGAGCGCCUGUGCUAUGCUUGUCCUUGUGCUGGGAGGGAGGUGGAAAAAAUGUAGCAAACGGGGGUAAUCCAAAACUGGGACAGGGUCAUGUGCUGGAGGCAGGUGGAGAAUGUUGGCUUCCAGACCCAGGGGCAUUUGGCUGUGUGUUACCCGCCUGGAAAGAGAGAGGAGUGAGCCCCCAGCUGAGCAGCUGGACUUGAUGCUGUGAACACAGGUGCCCGAGGCAGGGCUGUACCUAUCUGGAGCUGCUUUUGCCUCUGGGCUGAAGAGGCCAGUGUGGGAAGGAGGCUGCAGAGCUAUGGCUGCCUUAGUGAGGAGGGGGAGCCCCACAGCAGGGCCAGUGGCAUGGGGAGGGCAAAGGGGAAGGGAGGUGGUUCUUUCUCUGAGGGGCAUCUUGCUUUCAGGAUCACCUCCUUCCCUCAUUUUCUCUGCUGCAGACCCUAGGUAUCUCACCCAGAGAGAGGAGCCCCAGAUCUUCCCUCAUAGCCUGGGUUCUUCGCUAUUGUCAGCCCCAUGGCUCCUCUCUGUCUGCUGCUAUCAUGCACUUCUAUAUUUAACACAAGAUUUCUGUCUGUGGCAGAGGGCAUUUUCUGAGGUAAAGUUAAAUACAUGGCAAAACCUUCAGAAGCGGAGGCUUGAAAACGUAAUUGCUCUAACCUGAUUGCCUGUGUUAUUAUUCAAAUAGAUAGCUGAAUGAAGGUCAGUUUUUGAAUAGGUUUGAAUUUUGAUGGUGCUGUGAAUGAACUGUCUCCUAGUCCCAGAAAGCUGCAAGAUGAGGUCUUUUGUACUGCAGAGAAAGGCUUUGAAGAAUCCCAGUGAUGUCUGAGUCCCUGAAACUUCUACCACACAAGCGUACAGCUUGCAGUCACUGAGGAUUACAGCCAUGGAAGCAUUUUCUUGGGACUUUUUCUCAUAACAAAACCUUGGCAUUUCCUGCUGCAUUCCCUGAGAUAAGAGCAUAUGGAUCUGAGAGAAAUGAAGGGCAAGUAAAUGAACUGCAGCCUUUAUCUGAAUGGCCCGAUGGAAACAAAUGGAUUUUAAUCUAAAGGAGGAAAUAAAGAAGGAAUUAAAUGCUUGAAAGUUUGUUCUUUUUCGGCACUUGCAGUCUAGAACAUAAGUUGCAUGUUUAAAACAAACAAAAUGUCUUUCCUGGAAUUAUAACCUGACCAAUUUGUAGUUUGGUAUUCCCUACCAGGAUGUGGUAGCUUUCUGUGUGACUGAUGGAUGGUUCAAAGGGGGAUUUGUUGUUUUGAAGGAGCAAAGG
Long non-coding RNA from Meleagris gallopavo (turkey), 1786 nucleotides. RefSeq lists it as uncharacterized. The record is from RefSeq and is a predicted model, not a curated record. NCBI's taxonomy places the organism in Eukaryota, Metazoa, Chordata, Aves, Galliformes, Phasianidae.